RNAcentral lists this ribosomal RNA (449 nucleotides) under uncultured bacterium. Its description in RNAcentral is "bacterial SSU rRNA". It matches the Rfam family "Bacterial small subunit ribosomal RNA", at positions 330 to 794 of the family's 1533-position model. The record is from RNAcentral.
CCCAGACUCCUACGGGAGGCAGCAGUGGGGAAUAUUGGGCAAUGGACGCAAGUCUGACCCGGCAACGCCGCGUGAAGGAAGAAGGCUUUCGGGUUGUAAACUUCUUUUAAGGGGGAAGAGCAGAAGACGGUACCCCUUGAAUAAGCCACGGCUAACUACGUGCCAGCAGCCGCGGUAAUACGUAGGGGGCAAGCGUUAUCCGGAUUUACUGGGUGUAAAGGGAGCGUAGACGGUAAGGCAAGUCAGAUGUGAAAGCCCGGGGCUCAACCGCGGGACUGCAUUUGAAACUGUCCUACUGGAGUGCAGGAGAGGUAAGUGGAAUUCCUAGUGUAGCGGUGAAAUGCGUAGAUAUUAGGAGGAACACCAGUGGCGAAGGCGGCUUACUGGACAGUAACUGACGUUGAGGCUCGAAAGCGUGGGGAGCAAACAGGAUUAGAUACCCGAGUAGA